CCAUGGAACAAGUCUGCCAGCCCUCAACCCUGUCACUGAAGAGAAACUACCCCUGAACACGCUAUCCGCCAAGGCUGCUCCUGGGUUCCUUAAAGUGGAGUGAAAACUUAAAGCACGUGAACAUUCCCGGUGCAGAAGACGUCAAGAUUCUUACGGCUCUCCCCCAGUUUGUUAACGACUGUUUCACCCAUACCUGCUCCCAUCUUGAGAUCCUCACCUUUAUCGUUUGCCCCAGCGCGGCUGCAGAGAAAUACACUUUAUUGCCACUCGUA
Neofelis nebulosa (Clouded leopard) is the source of this 272-nucleotide long non-coding RNA. RefSeq lists it as uncharacterized. The transcript is spliced from 2 exons. Lineage: Eukaryota; Metazoa; Chordata; Mammalia; Carnivora; Felidae. The record is from RefSeq and is a predicted model, not a curated record.